RNAcentral lists this ribosomal RNA (851 nucleotides) under Arthrobacter sp. COL-28. RNAcentral's name for it is "bacterial SSU rRNA". It matches the Rfam family "Bacterial small subunit ribosomal RNA", at positions 147 to 1002 of the family's 1533-position model. The record is from RNAcentral. Lineage: Bacteria; Bacillati; Actinomycetota; Actinomycetes; Micrococcales; Micrococcaceae.
GCCUGGGUGAACCGGGUCUAAUACUGGAUAUGACCUUCUGGCGCAUGCCAUGUUGGUGGAAAGCUUUAUUGCGGUUUUGGAUGGACUCGCGGCCUAUCAGCUUGUUGGUGGGGUAAUGGCCUACCAAGGCGACGACGGGUAGCCGGCCUGAGAGGGUGGACGGCCACACUGGGACUGAGACACGGCCCAGACUCCUACGGGAGGCAGCAGUGGGGAAUAUUGCACAAUGGGCGCAAGCCUGAUGCAGCGACGCCGCGUGGGGGAUGAAGGCCUUCGGGUUGUAAACCUCUUUCAGUAGGGAAGAAGCGAAAGUGACGGUACCUGCAGAAGAAGCGCCGGCUAACUACGUGCCAGCAGCCGCGGUAAUACGUAGGGCGCAAGCGUUAUCCGGAAUUAUUGGGCGUAAAGAGCUCGUAGGCGGUUUGUCGCGUCUGCCGUGAAAGUCCGGGGCUUAACCCCGGAUCUGCGGUGGGUACGGGCAGACUAGAGUGAUGUAGGGGAGACUGGAAUUCCUGGUGUAGCGGUGAAAUGCGCAGAUAUCAGGAGGAACACCGAUGGCGAAGGCAGGUCUCUGGGCAUUAACUGACGCUGAGGAGCGAAAGCAUGGGGAGCGAACAGGAUUAGAUACCCUGGUAGUCCAUGCCGUAAACGUUGGGCACUAGGUGUGGGGGACAUUCCACGUUUUCCGCGCCGUAGCUAACGCAUUUAAGUGCCCCGCCUGGGGAGUACGGCCGCAAGGCUAAAACUCAAAGGAAUUGGACGGGGGCCCGCACAAGCGCCGGAGCAUGCGGAUUAAUUCGAUGCAACGCGAAGACCCUUACCAAAGGCUUGACAUGAACUGGAACAGCGCA